Long non-coding RNA from Triticum aestivum (bread wheat), 2874 nucleotides. RefSeq lists it as uncharacterized. The record is from RefSeq and is a predicted model, not a curated record. NCBI's taxonomy places the organism in Eukaryota, Viridiplantae, Streptophyta, Magnoliopsida, Poales, Poaceae. The transcript has 10 exons.
AGCCGGCCUGCAUCUCCCCCCUCCGCCCGAGCCAUCGUCUCCCCCGCCACACGCACACCCAAUCCCCUCCCCUCCAACCCUAGCCGCCCCGCUCCCCUCCCUCUCCACGGCGCCGCCGCCUCCUCCCCUUCUGCCCUGCUCUCCACCGUGCCGCCUCUUCCUCCUCUUCACUGCCCUCUCUAGCGGCGGCAAAGAUCUGCCGACAAAAGGGAGACGACGGCGACGCUCGAUCCGAUCUGCUGAAGAGAAAAGAUGAGAGGGAGAGAGACAAGGAAGGAGAGGAGGGAGAAAGAUAGAGGAAAGAGGAGAGCGAGGUGUGACGGCAGAUGAGAGAGGGUCACCGGAAGGAGCGUGACGACCUGCAGACAAAGGGCGGCGGCGGCGCCGCUCGAUUUGAUCUGCGGGAGAGAGAAUAUGAGAGGGAGAGAGAGAAGGAAGAACAUGAGAGGAGGGAGAAAGAGAGAGGAAAGAGGAGAGGGGGUUGACGGCCGACAGGAGAGGAUCACCGGAAGGAGUGCCGCCGGCUCGUUGUCUUUCACACCGCACUAUAGUAGAGCUAUCUCUGUACAACCCACACGCACGCAGGGGUGUUGCGAGGACUUAGAGGUCGUGCGCCGGCCGAAGCAGCAAGAGCAAUGAUCUGGCGGCCUCUCUUCUCUGCCACAGUUCCCUUCUCUUCAUUCAGCUCUCGAGACGUCGACCUGCAGGUGUAGGUGCUUGUGUCUCAACCAUCUUUCUCCUGUAUCCUCAGUUCCUCACAUUUUUUAUUUCUGAUUCGUGUGUUACCAUAUUAUUGCUAGGCUAGAGUUUGUCCGUGUGUUGUUUAUGCUCAGGUUUAAUCUCCACAAAAGAUGGCCCACACUACUUUACAAGGAACUGCUGUUGUCCAGUUUAGAGGCAAACCAUUGUUUAACAACGGAUAUGCGGAGGCGUUUUUAUGGAUGUGCAUUUCCCCUGAAUCUAGACAGCUAUUCAACCUGUUGCGGACAUUUUUGGUGGAAUUCAAUGCUUCAGCAGAUGUGCCGGCGCUGCUGCCUGCGCCUUCUCCAGCGCCGCCUCGGUCACCAGCGCCAACUCCGGUCAGUGGUCUCCGGCACGCCCUCGCGGCUGGACGAGGCAGAGAUGUGCCGAGGAUCCCCACGCCCUUGGUUCUCAUGUUCUCUGCUCCCAGCCGCAGCAGAUCGUGCCAAAGGCAUUAUCGUGAGGAGGGAAGCGGCUGCAGAUUAAGGACAACGCGGGUUAAGAGCAUGGUCAUAGUCUAGGAGCACGCCCGGUGGUCGGUACGUAUGUUGUCUCCAUGCCAAAAAUAGCCACUUGAUUAUUUUAACAAAUCCCUCUUCUGCCUCUUAGUCAUGCUCAAAUCUGAGCUACCAUGUGUCUACUGAGCUUAAAAUUACCCACAACCCACAAUAGAAGGCAAGUAUGAUAUGACAGUGUAUGUCAUGGUAAUCUAGCUUUAUAAAAUCCAAAUUGAUCACAAUAUGCACAUAGAUGUUUACAUAUUUGCAUCCAUAGCAUCACUUAUAGGAUUGUAAUUAAUAGCAACCAUGAAGAGAGUUGGUUCCUUUUAUUAUCAGCACGUCUCUUCUUCUGCAUCCUGAAGAUCUGCUAAAAUAUGAAGUGAAUUUCCUGUUUUAUCUCACAUUUACCAAUUACACAUUGAAAUAUUGUGUUUGUCAAGAGAGUUUGAUUUGUACUUUGGAAGUUUUGGGAUUGGAGACAUCACCCUUCUUGUCCGCUGCCCAACUCCGUCGCAGCCCAGGCCUAGCAGGCGAUAGAGGCACGGCGAGGACUCACUGCAAAGAAGCCAUGGGAGGAGGACCCCGACUCGGAUGACGGCUGCUGGAAGAUCACGCACUUAUUCGGCCCACAGACAGGCUCCGCUUAUGGCUUAUCCAAGGUUGGAGCUUCACCGGCGCAUGGUUGUGCUCAGAGGAGGACCGCCGAUGCCCGCCGCCGCUGUCGUCCACAUGCUCCUCCUCACGACCACGGGUGGACGUUGGCUGAGGUCUAGCCUCCCAUCCAUGCGCAGAUUAUGCAAGAAUCUGCUUGGUCUGCAUAUUAGUACCGACUAGCGAGCACAGGAACGACGACUUGGACCUGACGACUUGGACGUUGGCUGAGGUCUAGCCUCCCAUAUGCAUAUUUGACCAGUACUACAUGCGGCCCGCGAGCAAAGGUCGUCCGGCCAAUUCUGACCCCACCAGUCAUGGAUUCUUAUACCAGCCCAGUAGGGUUGUUCUCCAUCAUCCUCGUGCCCUACUGUCGAUGGGGAGGAGAGGAGCAGCGAGGCUGGAGCUCCAGACGACGCACAUGUCGCUGGGUGGAGGAGAGGCCAGCUACGGGGCGCUCCUGUCACGAUGUGGUGAGAUGCAAGGGAGGGGUAGGAUGCCGGUGACAGUAGAAGGAGCAGGCCGGUGUAGAGGGCAAGCAGCACAGGAAGAUUAAGAAGGAUAUGAAGCUUUGUAUAGUUUCAUGGAUGGGGUUUGGGUGUCCUCAUGAGAGCAGUUCAGUGCUUGCACCUCUGCAACCUCGCCAACAUGGACAAUCACUGGUCAUGAGUACAGGAUCAAGCCACGGAUAUUUACGGCACGACAUGGAGUAUUUGGUGGAACUAGCUAUGGAAGUGUGUCCCUCCAUGUUGUAGGCAGACCGUGAUAUGGUGAAUUAUUUCUUAGGCACGACACUAUGAGCUCCUGUUUUGCAGCACAUGGAUACUUUUCGGCAUAAAUGUCAUGGGUCCAUGAUGCCUUACGUACCUCUGAACCUAUGACUCUAGAGAUAAUUUAAUAUAUUUCUGGAUUGUUUCGCUCUGGUUACAAAUAUUGUAAGAUCCUCUUUCACUAACACUUUCAAGUUUCAAAUAUUGUCAAA